GCGUUAUAGAAGAUCCCACACUACAUGACGGGGAUAUGCCGACCGCCAAAACAGCUAUGAAUAUCCAAUAGGCCCCACUGGGUACGAAUUUGGUCCCCGAGGGCGCCAUGUAAUCUCCAUGCAGCUAUUACAAAUUUAUGAAAAUAAGAUAACAUAUUUCGCACAAUAUUAGAAUUGAAAAAACUAAGUCAUUUUGCCGGUAUAGGAUCUGAAACAUGAUGCGUGGGCUAAUCAAGCAGAUACUGCUGCAGGCAAUAGGCCGUUGUGCCGGAGCAAUGGAUCUGGCGAUGGUUCACGUCCUCGGAAUGCAACAAACACCUCCAGUGGUGGUCUUCCGCCUCCAAGAGCAAGAAUGGUUUCUCUAAACCUGCGACCGGUUUCCUUAAUAGCCUUAUCAUUGUCCAAACCAGCAUCCUCAAAUGCGGAGAAAGCGUCGGCCGACAAAACCUCUGCCCAUUUGUAGCUAUAAUACCCAGCCGCAUAGCCACCUCCAAAUAUAUGGCUGAAACUGCAAAGGAAUCUAUCCUCAGGUAGGACAGGGAUGACUUGUGUUCUUUCUCCUACUCUUCGAUCAACAUCAAAUAUAGAUUCCGGUCCAUCCGGAAUAAAUGUUGUAUGCAAUUCCAAAUCUACGGU
This 636-nucleotide unclassified non-coding RNA is filed under the name Hevea brasiliensis (rubber tree). Lineage: Eukaryota; Viridiplantae; Streptophyta; Magnoliopsida; Malpighiales; Euphorbiaceae. The record is from RNAcentral.